UACGUAGGGUGCAAGCGUUGUCCGGAAUUAUUGGGCGUAAAGAGCUCGUAGGCGGUUUGUCGCGUCUGCUGUGAAAACCCGAGGCUCAACCUCGGGCCUGCAGUGGGUACGGGCAGACUAGAGUGCGGUAGGGGAGAUUGGAAUUCCUGGUGUAGCGGUGGAAUGCGCAGAUAUCGAGGAGGAACACCAAUGGCGAAGGCAGAUCUCUGGGCCGUAACUGACGCUGAGGAGCGAAAGCGUGGGGAGCGAACAGG
Molecule: ribosomal RNA, 254 nt
Filed under: uncultured bacterium
Lineage: Bacteria
Description: partial 16S ribosomal RNA
Rfam family: Bacterial small subunit ribosomal RNA
Source: RNAcentral